AUAAAAAUUUAAUCAGUUAAUGCUAAACUGAAAGAUAGAGGAAAAAGUCCUGGUUUAAUGUUUCUAUAUUUAAUUUAAUUAUAGACCUGAAAAGAAAACAGUAAAUACUACCAAUACGAGGAUUUAGUAGCAGUAUUUUAACACAAGAACCGUGAGAAUUCUUGUUUGACCGUGAUAAGCGGGUCGGACUGCGAUAGUUAAUGAUGAAGAUAAGUGUUCAACGAAUCGACCAUUUUUAUGUGUUCCAUAUCCGCUGGACAAUGAAUGUUUUAGAUGCAACGGGUCGACCAGGAUCUUUUUCGAUAGGAUACAUUGCCUAGCUGGAAUGCUAUUCACGUUCGGAACGUAUCACCUAGUCUCUGCCACGACGUCCACAAAUUUUUAAUUUUGGAACUCGAAAAUUUAAGACAUUUUAAAACAGAAUACGAGACUGAUAUUUCCGAAAUUAUUUAAUGAAUAUGUUUAUAAAAUCUAUUCGUUUAAAUUAAAGCGCAGAUAUGAAUCAUUGUCGGCGUGGCUGCUGAUGCAAACGAUGUAUUACAAAGCCUGGAACGAGUAUGCUGGUUUAUGGCUUAUGCGCCGCUCACAAUGUGCUAUAUGGAUAAAUAAUGAAGUAUUCUUGCGAAACAGACGAACCAGGACAGGACGCACCCUUUUUCAAUGGGCUGUCCACCAGAUGUGUGCACAUCCAUGUAAACUGCACUUGGUUUUUCCCAUUCUUCCCUUUUCUACAGAAAUUGUAAAACGUUUGUUUUGAAAAUGUUUAUUGGGAAGUUAAGCAUACCAAAUGGAUGAAGGGAUACAUUAGUUCAGUAAAUAUGUAACUGAAGAUUUGUUUAUGAAACAUAGUGCAAACAUUCAACUGUGUAAUGGAAAUGGACUAACUCUAUCCGUCCAGGUGCAGUUAACAGAGUCCCCAGAGAUCAAUAUGAUAGUAUUUCAGGAUAGUCACUAUUACUAAUAAAUAUAAGCACUGAAGUAUUGCCUGUUUGAAGACGAGAUUUCCCUAAGUCGAACCGGUGUUUUCACGAAGAAUGAUGGGUUCGAAGAUUGAAGGUUCAGUGGGUUAAGCUAGCAGAACGCUCGUGAGUUCCACUCAACGUAUAAUCCCGAUGGAGGCGUGCCUUUAAACAGAGGACUUCCUGUAUUCUCAACGCGUCCCGUACGAUUCGAGCCGUGAAUGUCGAUGUAAGAAACAGAUGCAAGAACCGUGGACGAUCGGUUGAGUCAAGCGGAUUUUUCAAUACAAUCAAAGAUCAAACAUAGUACAGUAAAUCGAGCUAAACGUGAGCUGUAUUUAACGCGAAUCACGUGGCUUCAUAUGACACGAAAAGGUGUUGCGUUUUUGAAUGAUUCAAUAGACCAGGAAGUAACGUAAUUGUUUGCAUAAUAGCGUUAUUAUCAAGUGUGACUCAUUUUGAAUUAUUUAUACAAAAUAGAGAUCGCUACUUUUUUCAAGCUCUGUUGACCCAACAGUUAGGUUCUGUACUUAACCUAAUUUGAUAGAAAAAAUAAACGAUGACCGAGUCUAUCAUCAUGCACAAUCCGCAAAUUAAGCAAAUAACAAUGGUCGAGUUAUACACGAUACAAUGUAUGGAAUGCGAUUAAAUUCUUGCAAAGCUGUCCAUCGUUUAGCAGAAAAUAGCAGAAGAACGCGGUCUUAUGGCUUUUCUCUGAAAGUAUUUGACACCCAUUUUCCGUGCCAAAUAUGCCAAGUUCAGCACUACAACGAUGGUAUCGAUUAUUUGUCGAUAACAGCUCUACUCUAGCGACGACACUUGGAUCACUGUAAACUCAAUAAGCCUGAGGAUCCAAAUCAGGGAGUGAAGGUACGCAAUGUACGUACUCUUGUUAGAUUGCAAUGGUCAACAAUGCAAAAGAGAAUAAGUAUGAACGCGUGAAGCAGUUGCAGGGAUAGAAGUAACUGGGCCACAGUGUA
Megachile rotundata (alfalfa leafcutting bee) is the source of this 1939-nucleotide long non-coding RNA. Lineage: Eukaryota; Metazoa; Arthropoda; Insecta; Hymenoptera; Megachilidae. The record is from RefSeq and is a predicted model, not a curated record.